AAGAAAAAGUGUGAUUUUUCAAGGAAUCAAGUGUUUAAAGGUGGUGAGCUAUCUGAUACGGGUAAAAGACUACACCCGAGGAUCGAGAAUAGGAGUAUAUCUACUCCUAGUACAUGGGCACUGCAGUGAUGGGAGUUCUGUGGGCCAGCCUAAUUAGAGGGGCACGGUUCUCAAUUAUUGAGCUUACCUUGAUUGGAG
Molecule: non-coding RNA, 198 nt
Organism: Theobroma cacao (cacao)
Lineage: Eukaryota; Viridiplantae; Streptophyta; Magnoliopsida; Malvales; Malvaceae
Source: RefSeq, a predicted model, not a curated record